Molecule: ribosomal RNA, 702 nt
Filed under: Triticum aestivum (bread wheat)
Lineage: Eukaryota; Viridiplantae; Streptophyta; Magnoliopsida; Poales; Poaceae
Description: partial small subunit ribosomal RNA
Source: RNAcentral
AUGGUAUGGUCUCUUAUCUUUCGUUGCUACGGCCAUGACUUCGGCCUUCGGCCUUCUAUAUGUUUGCAUGUCCAAUUGUUGUUGAUCGUGUACGCAUUUCAAUCUUUGGAAGCAUUCAAGGCCCAGCACAAUGACAAGCCAUUCACUCGUACGCAUUGUUGGACGCUCAUCAACAAUUGCCCUAAGUUCAAAGAUCAAUACCGCGAACUUCAAAGGAAGAGAGGCAAGAAGACGGUCGCGUUGGCCGGAGGUGGAGAUGGUGAGGCAUUGAAGAGGCCAAGGGGCAAGACCAACUCCAAGAUGGACGAGAAGCGUGAUGCGUCAUCCUUUGCCUUGCACGAGACAUUGCACGACAUGAUGUCUCAAAAGGAUGUGAGGGACGAGAAAAAGCGACAAAGCAAGGAGGACCAAAUGAAGCAAUACCUGGAGCUUCAAAGGAAGAAGCUUGAGAUGGAGGAGGCAGCCAAGAAGAGGAAGAUCGACAUGAAGGAGGCGUCUCGGCAGAGGCAGCUCGACAUCGAGGCCGCCAAUGCCGCGGCCAGGCAGAGGCAGCUCGACAUCGAGGCCACCAAUGCCGCAACCAAAGCAAAAGAGGUGGCGCUAGCGAUCAUGAGCGUCGACAUGAGCAAGAUGAGCGAAAAGACGAGGAGCUGGUUCGAGGCCCGGCAGAAGGAGAUGUUCGACGCCGACAGCCUGAACUAG